CUUUAAGUGGGCUCCACAUAAUUGAACCAAUAGCAGAUGACAUUUUUAUAAUUGGCUGUGGUAAAACAGAUGAGCAAGCUGAGCAUGACCAUGAUGAGAAACUUGUAGCAUUAUUGGAUCGCUGCAGGCAGGUAAUGCUGAGACUCAGCAUAAAGAAAUUAGGGUACAAGAAGUCCGCUUCCAUGGACAUAUCCUGUCUCAACAAGGCUUGAAAGCUGAC
This is a non-coding RNA of Pelobates cultripes (western spadefoot toad), 220 nucleotides long. Lineage: Eukaryota; Metazoa; Chordata; Amphibia; Anura; Pelobatidae. The record is from the annotation of a GenBank genome assembly.